AAAAAAAAAAACCCAAUAAUCAUAGAUAUGUUUAACCAAACAUAUCAAAAUAACCAAUAUAAAAAGCAUUAAUAAGCUUAGAAAAAUACAUAAAAUAAAAAUAAACUUCACCAUUAACAAUACUUUUUACUCUUUAAGAGAAUACUAAAAGAACAACAACAAAGCAAAGAACACUAUAAGAACUUGCUAGAAAAUAAACUAAACCCAAAUUUUGGACAUUCAAAAACAAACUCCAGACUUUUGGAAUCCACAAACAAACCCAAAUAGCACUGUAAGUGUUAUUGGAAAAAUAAAAAGAGUUGGGUUGGGGGGGGGGGGG
RNAcentral lists this unclassified non-coding RNA (319 nucleotides) under Hevea brasiliensis (rubber tree). Lineage: Eukaryota; Viridiplantae; Streptophyta; Magnoliopsida; Malpighiales; Euphorbiaceae. The record is from RNAcentral.